RNAcentral lists this ribosomal RNA (494 nucleotides) under uncultured bacterium. Its description in RNAcentral is "partial 16S ribosomal RNA". It matches the Rfam family "Bacterial small subunit ribosomal RNA", at positions 28 to 507 of the family's 1533-position model. The record is from RNAcentral.
GACGAACGCUGGCGGCGCGCUUAACACAUGCAAGUCGAACGGAAAGGCCUGCUUUCCCUUGUGGAUUGCGGGUACUCGAGUGGCGAACGGGUGAGUAACACGUGAGUGAUCUGCCCCCAACUUGGGUAUAAGCCUGGGAAACUGGGUCUAAUUCCCGAUAGGACUGCAGGGUGGUGCCUGUGGUGGAAAACGAUUUUCUAGUGGUUGGGGAUGAGCUCGCGGCCUAUCAGCUUGUUGGUGGGGUAAUGGCCUACCAAGGCGGCGACGGGUAGCCGGCCUGGGAGGGUGGACGGCCACAUUGGGACUGAGAUACGGCCCAGACUCCUACGGGAGGCAGCAGUGGGGAAUAUUGCACAAUGGGCGGAAGCCUGAUGCAGCGACGCCGCGUGGGGGAUGACGGCCUUCGGGUUGUAAACUCCUUUCGACCGCGAGGAAGCCACCUGGUUGGAAGGGUGGUGACGGUAGUGUUAGAAGAAGCACCGGCUAACUACGUG